UACAGAGGGUGCGAGCGUUAAUCGGAAUUACUGGGCGUAAAGCGUGCGUAGACGGUCAUGUAAGUCGGAUGUGAAAGCCCCGGGCUCAACCUGGGAAUUGCAUUCGAGACUGCAUGGCUUGGGUGCGGAAGAGGGAAGCGGAAUUUCCGGUGUAGCGGUGAAAUGCGUAGAUAUCGGAAGGAACACCAGUGGCGAAAGCGGCUUCCUGGUCCAGCACCGACGUUCAGGCACGAAAGCGUGGGGAGCAAACAGG
Molecule: ribosomal RNA, 253 nt
Filed under: uncultured bacterium
Lineage: Bacteria
Description: partial 16S ribosomal RNA
Rfam family: Bacterial small subunit ribosomal RNA
Source: RNAcentral